AUGUUCGCCUGGUUACUACUACAAAAUCGGAUGUGGUGCAACGACAGGCUUCAUUGGAGAGGAUGGGAGAACAACUACUUUUGCCAGCUUUGCCUUCGAAACCUGCAAACCUCCCAACACUUAUUUUGGAGCCGCCCUUUAGCAAAGAAGGUGUGGAGCAAAAUUUCACAAUGGAAGGGUUGCAUCUCGCUAACCCCACGUGAGGAAUGGCGGCAACAAUCUACCUCAACGACCAUGCAUGACAGCAUCGAGAGAACGAAAGCAGGCAAAAGGAAGGGAGGCACUAACUUGCUGGGAGAUAUGGCAAGAACGCAACAACAACAACACCUUCAGGGGAAAAGUUUCUGCAUCAAAGGAUACCAUUGA
This 366-nucleotide ribosomal RNA is filed under the name Triticum aestivum (bread wheat). RNAcentral describes it as "partial small subunit ribosomal RNA". The record is from RNAcentral. Lineage: Eukaryota; Viridiplantae; Streptophyta; Magnoliopsida; Poales; Poaceae.